AGUGAACGCUGGCGGUAGGCCUAACACAUGCAAGUAGAACGGCAGCACAGUAAGAGCUUGCUCUUACGGGUGGCGAGUGGCGGACGGGUGAGGAAUACAUCGGAAUCUACUUUUUCGUGGGGGAUAACGUAGGGAAACUUACGCUAAUACCGCAUACGACCUACGGGUGAAAGCAGGGGAUCUUCGGACCUUGCGCGAUUGAAUGAGCCGAUGUCGGAUUAGCUAGUUGGCGGGGUAAAGGCCCACCAAGGCGACGAUCCGUAGCUGGUCUGAGAGGAUGAUCAGCCACCCUGGAACUGGGACACGGUCCAGACUCCUACGGGAGGCAGCAGUGGGGAAUAUUGGACAAUGGGCGCAAGCCUGAUCCAGCCAUACCGCGUGGGUGAAGAAGGCCUUCGGGUUGUAAAGCCCUUUUGUUGGGAAAGAAAAGCAGCAGGUUAAUACCCCGCUGUUCUGACGGUACCCAAAGAAUAAGCACCGGCUAACUUCGUG
Molecule: ribosomal RNA, 492 nt
Filed under: uncultured bacterium
Lineage: Bacteria
Description: partial 16S ribosomal RNA
Rfam family: Bacterial small subunit ribosomal RNA
Source: RNAcentral